This 298-nucleotide unclassified non-coding RNA is filed under the name uncultured Agaricales. RNAcentral's name for it is "sequence contains 5.8S rRNA gene, ITS2, 28S rRNA gene". The stretch from base 1 to 52 matches the Rfam family "5.8S ribosomal RNA", at positions 103 to 154 of the family's 154-position model. Lineage: Eukaryota; Fungi; Basidiomycota; Agaricomycetes; Agaricales. The record is from RNAcentral.
AACGCACCUUGCGCUCCUUGGUAUUCCGAGGAGCAUGCCUGUUUGAGUGUCGUGAAAUUCUCAACCUUUCUGACUUUUACAAGUCGGUUAGGCUUGGAUUAUGGAAGUUGCUGGCUUCUCAGAAAUCAGCUCUUCUCAAAUGUAUUAGCAAAGUCUUUGCUGGCCAUCUCUGGUAUGAUAAUUAUCUAUACCACGGAUGAUCGGCUUUCCGUAAUUGGAAGGGUUUUGCUUAUAAUCGUCUGUACAGACAACUUGACAAUUUGACCUCAAAUCAGGUAGGACUACCCGCUGAACUUAA